GGGGGCGCCCUGGGUUCGACGGAGAUAAUUGAUUUCGAGGUGGCAUGCCGAGCUCCCAUCCCUCGUUAAACGGUGGGAAAACACACAAUUGCUGACCAAGAGUUAGCUUUAGCCGCGUAAAAGCCGGCUACGUUCUCCCGGGUUUCGCCCGCCGUGCCCGGGAAGAACGUCAUUCAGGUGGGCUAGCCGGACAUUCGCCCCGCGUGUCCAGCGAAACUUAGGGGAUAGCGACCAUCAGGUCCUUGCCGGCUCCUAACUGAUUGGAAGCGAAGCUUAACGGGAACCGGACACGCAUGUAGAGGCCUCGGAAGAAGAUCUUCGGACGCGGGUUCGAUUCCCGCCGCCUCCACUU
RNAcentral lists this transfer-messenger RNA (352 nucleotides) under Vicinamibacteria. RNAcentral's name for it is "SMYC01 sp004356105 Standard tmRNA". It matches the Rfam family "transfer-messenger RNA". Rfam says of the family: Bacterial tmRNA, also known as 10Sa RNA or SsrA, is named for its dual tRNA and mRNA-like properties. Its role is to liberate the mRNA from a stalled ribosome. Lineage: Bacteria; Pseudomonadati; Acidobacteriota. The record is from RNAcentral. RNAcentral also lists the same sequence under 1 other name.